This 497-nucleotide ribosomal RNA is filed under the name uncultured bacterium. RNAcentral's name for it is "partial 16S ribosomal RNA". It matches the Rfam family "Bacterial small subunit ribosomal RNA", at positions 28 to 507 of the family's 1533-position model. The record is from RNAcentral.
GAUGAACGCUGGCGGCGUGCCUAAUACAUGCAAGUCGAGCGAACAGACGAGGAGCUUGCUCCUCUGACGUUAGCGGCGGACGGGUGAGUAACACGUGGAUAACCUACCUAUAAGACUGGGAUAACUUCGGGAAACCGGAGCUAAUACCGGAUAAUAUAUUGAACCGCAUGGUUCAAUAGUGAAAGACGGUUUUGCUGUCACUUAUAGAUGGAUCCGCGCCGCAUUAGCUAGUUGGUAAGGUAACGGCUUACCAAGGCAACGAUGCGUAGCUGACCUGAGAGGGUGAUCGGCCACACUGGAACUGAGACACGGUCCAGACUCCUACGGGAGGCAGCAGUAGGGAAUCUUCCGCAAAGGGCGAAAGCCUGACGGAGCAACGCCGCGUGAGUGAUGAAGGUCUUCGGAUCGUAAAACUCUGUUAUUAGGGAAGAACAAAUGUGUAAGUAACUAUGCACGUCUUGACGGUACCUAAUCAGAAAGCCACGGCUAACUACGUG